CAAUAGCGUAUAUUAACGUUGUUGCAGUUAAAAAGCUCGUAGUUGGAUUUCUGGAGGGAGCGUCGGCCCGUAUUUACGAGUGCGUGACGUCUCUGUCCAUCCUUGCGGGAAGGCACGGCAUCGACUUGUUGUGUCGGAUCGCAUCAUUUACUGUGAAAAAAUUAGAGUGUUCAAAGCAGGCUUUCGCUUGAAUACAUUAGCAUGGAAUAAUAAGAUAGGACUUUGGUGCUAUUUUGUUGGUUGAGCCUAAAGUAAUGAUUAAUAGGGAUAGUUGGGGGCACCUGUAUUGCGUUGUCAGAGGUGAAAUUCUUGGAUUUACGCAAGACAAACAGCUGCGAAAGCGUCUGCCAAGGAUGUUUUCAUUAA
RNAcentral lists this ribosomal RNA (366 nucleotides) under uncultured eukaryote. RNAcentral's name for it is "partial 18S ribosomal RNA". It matches the Rfam family "Eukaryotic small subunit ribosomal RNA", at positions 592 to 976 of the family's 1831-position model. The record is from RNAcentral.